RNAcentral lists this ribosomal RNA (750 nucleotides) under Triticum aestivum (bread wheat). RNAcentral describes it as "partial small subunit ribosomal RNA". Lineage: Eukaryota; Viridiplantae; Streptophyta; Magnoliopsida; Poales; Poaceae. The record is from RNAcentral.
AUUGAUUUGCUUUGUCCUCGUGCUCUGCACAUGAUGGUAACUUAGAUUUUGCUUGGGCUGGUGCCUUUCUCACUUGAGAACCCGGAUUACAAGGGCCUUGAGCUAGAUCUGAUGGCGUUCUGCGAGAAGCAUGGGAAGCCAUCAAAGAGGCUUGUUGCAUUUGAAGGAACAUACAAUGGGAGAAGAUUCUUAGCAUGUGCAGAGCCGGAAGGUCACAAUUAUGGGUUUGUUCAGUAGGUUGAUGAGCAGUGGCCCCUAACAUUGGAGAAUGCAUUGUUGAAGCUUUGGUCAAUGGUUGAAGAGAGCAAGUCAGCUAGGGUGAAUGAUAAUCUUGAAAGUGCUUUAACUAUUCACCAUCUGACAGAAGAAAAGAACAAGCUAGAUGCAGACUAUGACAAGUUAGUCAAAGAUGUGCAUCAACUUGUGGAUAUGCAGGAGGAUAGGCUUGUGGAUUCCAGUUAUCUGCACUCCAAUAUCACAUAUCAGCACCAAUGCAGAGUUGAAUUGGUGGCUGAUAUGAAGGCAGGAAUGGCAAAGAAAGAUGCAGUUACAAAGAAGCUUAAUCAGAAGUAUGAACUACUGUGCAACCUGACAAGUGCUCAAGCAACUGUCAUUCAGAACUUGAAGUUGAAGAAUAUGAAAGAGAAGGAAUUGUUGAGUGAGGCUAGGAUGAAUUUGGAGUUGAAGAAUACAGACUUUACAAAGUUUGAGGAGAAGCUCAUCCAAGAGAAGCUAGAGUUGAAAUUUUAG